GUUCUCUCCGAAAUAGCUUUAGGGCUAGCCUCAAGUGAUGAUUAUUGGAGGUAGAGCACUGUUUGGACGAGGGGCCCCUCUCGGGUUACCGAAUUCAGACAAACUCCGAAUGCCAAUUAAUUUAACUUGGGAGUCAGAACAUGGGUGAUAAGGUCCGUGUUCGAAAGGGAAACAGCCCAGACCACCAGCUAAGGUCCCAAAAUAUAUGUUAAGUGGAAAAGGAUGUGGCGUUGCCCAGACAACUAGGAUGUUGGCUUAGAAGCAGCCAUCAUUUAAAGAGUGCGUAAUAGCUCACUAGUCGAGUGACACUGCGCCGAAAAUGUACCGGGGCUAAACAUAUUACCGAAGCUGUGGAUUGUCCUUUGGACAAUGGUAGGAGAGCGUUCUAAGGGCGUUGAAGCAUGAUCGUAAGGACAUGUGGAGCGCUUAGAAGUGAGAAUGCCGGUGUGAGUAGCGAAAGACGGGUGAGAAUCCCGUCCACCGAUUGACUAAGGUUUCCAGAGGAAGGCUCGUCCGCUCUGGGUUA
This 526-nucleotide ribosomal RNA is filed under the name Staphylococcus aureus. RNAcentral describes it as "partial 23S ribosomal RNA". It matches the Rfam family "Bacterial large subunit ribosomal RNA", at positions 852 to 1382 of the family's 2925-position model. The record is from RNAcentral. Lineage: Bacteria; Bacillati; Bacillota; Bacilli; Caryophanales; Staphylococcaceae.